This 86-nucleotide transfer RNA is filed under the name Bacillus sp. AFS073361. It matches the Rfam family "tRNA". Rfam says of the family: Transfer RNA (tRNA) molecules are approximately 80 nucleotides in length. Lineage: Bacteria; Bacillati; Bacillota; Bacilli; Caryophanales; Bacillaceae. RNAcentral also lists the same sequence under 2 other names. The record is from Rfam by way of RNAcentral.
GGGCUUGUAGCUCAAGUGAUAGAGCAACCUGUAGUCCUUCACGCUGACUACAGUGUGUUUUGUGGGUUCAAAUCCCACCAAGCCCU